CAUGUGGACCCGCCUCGGUCUUCCCCUCCGGCCUCCGCGCAACCACAGCAAUGGCCAUGGUCUUCCCCUCCACGCAACCAGCAACCGCCAUGCCCCUCGGUCUUCCCCUCCGUCCUCUGCGCAACCGCCAUGGUCUUCCCCUCCGCGCAACCACAGCAACCGCCAUGCCCCUACCUCGCACCAUCCGCCAUGCCUUCGCCUCGCAGGAUCCGCCAUGCCAGCGUCUCGGCUUCUCCUCCGUUCAGCCGCCCGACCCGCCGCCUUCCCCUCCGCAAAACAGCCAUGUCCCCGCCUCGGCUAACCCUAUGCGCAGAUCCACAGCCGCCCGACCCGCCAGGACCUGCCUCUCCUUCCCCUCCGCGCUCAAACAACCAAGCCGAGCCGAGGAAAUGCGCCCACAAAUUUGGACGCUCCGCGCAGCCACACGAACUGCCAUGCAACCACCUCGCACGAUCCGUCAUGCCCCCGCCUCGCACGAUCCGCCGUGCCAGCGCCUCGGCUUCCCCUUCGUGCAACCGCCCGACCCGCCAGGACCCUGUCUCUCCUUCCCCUCCGCGCUCGGCUUGGCCCACAAAUUUGGAAAUGCACCCACAAAUUUGGAAGCCACGGCAAUGGCGCCCGAUUUGGCUAUGGCGUCGCUGAUUUGGAAAUCGCACAAUCUACGUCGCCGAUUUGGAAAGCACGAUCUCGGUACCGCAAUCACAACAACUAUCCCCCAAAUGUCGCGCCCACCCACGUCCAGCUGACUUAGGAGGGUCCAAGCAGGAGCCUACUCCUCAUUUGCCCCUGUUCAAAGGU
Zea mays is the source of this 798-nucleotide RNA transcript. It is a transcript of the gene named extensin pseudogene, with no coding region annotated. The record is from RefSeq and is marked validated. Lineage: Eukaryota; Viridiplantae; Streptophyta; Magnoliopsida; Poales; Poaceae. The transcript has 2 exons.